GACGAACGCUGGCGGCGUGCUUAACACAUGCAAGUCGAACGCUGAAGCUUGGUGCUUGCACUGGGUGGAUGAGUGGCGAACGGGUGAGUAAUACGUGAGUAACCUGCCCUUGACUCUGGGAUAAGCCUGGGAAACUGGGUCUAAUACUGGAUACGACAUGUCACCGCAUGGUGGUGUGUGGAAAGGGUUUUACUGGUUUUGGAUGGGCUCACGGCCUAUCAGCUUGUUGGUGGGGUAAUGGCUCACCAAGGCGACGACGGGUAGCCGGCCUGAGAGGGUGACCGGCCACACUGGGACUGAGACACGGCCCAGACUCCUACGGGAGGCAGCAGUGGGGAAUAUUGCACAAUGGGCGGAGCCUGAUGCAGCGACGCCGCGUGAGGGAUGACGGCCUUCGGGUUGUAAACCUCUUUCAGCACGGAAGAAGCGAAAGUGACGGUACGUGCAGAAGAAGCGCCGGCUAACUACGU
Molecule: ribosomal RNA, 470 nt
Filed under: uncultured bacterium
Lineage: Bacteria
Description: partial 16S ribosomal RNA
Rfam family: Bacterial small subunit ribosomal RNA
Source: RNAcentral